UAUUGGUCAAUGGGCGCUAGCCUGAACCAGCCAAGUAGCGUGAAGGAUGACUGCCCUAUGGGUUGUAAACUUCUUUUAUAUGGGAAUAAAGUGCAGUAUGUAUAUGGCUUUGCAUGUACCUUAUGAUUAUGGAUCGGCUAACUCCGUGCCAGCAGCCGCGGUAAUACGGAGGAUCCGAGCGUUAUCCGGAUUUAUUGGGUUUAAAGGGAGCGUAGGUGGAUUGUUAAGUCAGUUGUGAAAGUUUGCGGCUCAACCGUAAAAUUGCAGUUGAAACUGGCAGUCUUGAGUACAGCAGAGGUGGGCGGAAUUCGUGGUGUAGCGGUGAAAUGCUUAGAUAUCACGAAGAACUCCGAUUGCGAAGGCAGCCUGCUGGACUGUAACUGACGCUGAUGCUCGAAAGUGUGGGUAUCAAACAGG
This 417-nucleotide ribosomal RNA is filed under the name uncultured bacterium. RNAcentral describes it as "bacterial SSU rRNA". It matches the Rfam family "Bacterial small subunit ribosomal RNA", at positions 362 to 776 of the family's 1533-position model. The record is from RNAcentral.